UCCUUUUAUAUGGGAAGAUAAUGACGGUACCAUAUGAAUAAGCACCGGCUAACUCCGUGCCAGCAGCCGCGGUAAUACGGAGGGUGCAAGCGUUACUCGGAAUCACUGGGCGUAAAGCGCGCGCAGGCGGUCUUUUAAGUUGGAUGUGAAAGCCUACGGCUCAACCGUAGAACUGCAUCCAAAACUAUUAGACUAGAGUGUGGGAGAGGAAGAUGGAAUUAGUUGUGUAGGGGUAAAAUCCGUAGAGAUAACUAGGAAUACCAAAAGCGAAGGCAAUCUUCUGGAACACUACUGACGCUGAGGCGCGAAAGCGUGGGGAGCAAACAGGAUUAGAUACCCUGGUAGUCCACGCAGUAAACGAUGAAUGUUAGUCGUCGGGGGCCUAGUGUCUUCGGUGAUGCAGCUAACGCAUUAAACAUUCCGCCUGGGGAGUACGGUCGCAAGAUUAAAACUCAAAGGAAUAGACGGGGACCCGCACAAGUGGUGGAGCAUGUGGUUUAAUUCGAAGAUACGCGAAGAACCUUACCUAGCCUUGACAUAUUUAAGAACUCCGUAGAGAUACAGAGGUGCCUUCGGGAGCUUUUUUACAGGUGCUGCACGGCUGUCGUCAGCUCGUGUCGUGAGAUGUUGGGUUAAGUCCCGCAACGAGCGCAACCCUCGUCACUAGUUACUAACGGUUCGGCCGAGGACUCUAGUCAGACUGCCUCCGCAAGGAGGAGGAAGGUGAGGACGACGUCAAGUCAUCAUGGCCCUUACGGUCAGGGCAACACACGUGCUACAAUGGGCAGGACAAUGAGACGCAAUACCGCGAGGUGGAGCAAAUCUAUAAACCUACUCUCAGUUCGGAUAGCAGUCUGCAACUCGACUGCUUGAAGCUGGAAUCACUAGUAAUCGUAGAUCAGCUAUGCUACGGUGAAUACGUUCCCGGGUCUUGCACUCACCGCCCGUC
RNAcentral lists this ribosomal RNA (949 nucleotides) under uncultured Campylobacterota bacterium. RNAcentral's name for it is "bacterial SSU rRNA". It matches the Rfam family "Bacterial small subunit ribosomal RNA", at positions 431 to 1398 of the family's 1533-position model. The record is from RNAcentral. Lineage: Bacteria; Pseudomonadati; Campylobacterota.